CUUCCCUGGCCAUCUGCAGGGAGAGACCCCGGGAAUGAGGACAUAAGUGGUCCAGGAAGGGAGGACAAUUCCUGGAAAACAGAACUCCACCCUCCAGUCCUGGGCCUGGCCCCCCAGGCCCCGCUUCCUAGGUCGCCUUGCCUUCCUGAAAAAGAAAAAUCUCCUCCUAACCCAGAAAACCUACCACACACACCCUGUGCUACUACUGAGUCAGCAUUAAAUCAGUCAGUGUCCAGCUGGCUGGCCCCUGGUUCCUGCCCCACCUGGGCCUGAGCUCGGUCAGUGCCACGUCCAGUUCCAGUUCCAAUCACGCUGUCUGACAAAGUCCGAGUGUGGGAACAUGGCUUCAAAGAAGCAUAUUCAGGCCUGGAGGACAUGGCACACGUGGAUAUACGGUGUUGAUUCUGUUCGUGCUGACUCUUGGUGUUCUGACAUUUACUUUCCUGAUAAUUUGGAAUCUCCUAGAAAUGAUGGCCAUUCUCAGAGCUGAUCAACAACUAGGUCAGACUGAGAACUAUGCCACCUUGGCCUUUCCCCAAAAUAAUACCCUCUCUGGGGGCCCAGAGGAGGAAAGGCCCACGAUGUCCAGUGAGUCCAAGGGGAAGAAUGUUUCCUUCCCUGACCCAGGUAAGCAGAUGCAGGACAAGUUAACACUAGGUAGCAGGGAGCCAGAGUUACCCAGAGCGCUCCCCCAAGUUAAUCCCCUCUAAUGAAAUAGCCCCUGAAUGUCUAAAAGUUGUUGGAGUAACAGCCCCUCCUUUACCUUGAAUAAGAAUAUAUACCAAUUGGACAGGCAAAGAAAUUUUAAAAGGAGCUGGUUAACUAUUACAAACUAAGCAUGUAGAUAUAAUUACCAAGGAGUCAGAGUCCAUAGUACAUAAAGAAACAUUUUAGACAGAAAGAUAAAUAGCUAAGUUAGACAUCACAAAGGCCUUAUAAUAAAUUUCCUAACCUCUGCUCGGUCUAGCGUACCUUUUGCCCCAUGCCAAAUUUUAGACCCUUAAUAAACAAUAAGAUAUUCAAACUCUGUACAUAGACUUAUUUCAAAUUGUCUGAUUAAUGGUUCUCCUAGUCAAAACAAUUUUUGUAUAAUGUAAUUGAAACUAUAGAAAUUCUUGUACUUUUCCUGGUUACCUUUGUAUUGAUUUUGUCUGCUUAACUGAUCAUGCUAUACACCUGCAAAUGUUAAUCACUACCUCAAAU
Long non-coding RNA from Artibeus jamaicensis (Jamaican fruit-eating bat), 1203 nucleotides. RefSeq lists it as uncharacterized. Lineage: Eukaryota; Metazoa; Chordata; Mammalia; Chiroptera; Phyllostomidae. The transcript has 3 exons. The record is from RefSeq and is a predicted model, not a curated record.